CCCUUAGAUGUUCUGGGCCGCACGCGCGCUACACUGAUGCAUUCAACAAGCCUAGCCUUGACCGAGAGGUCCGGGUAAUCUUUGAAACUGCAUUGUGAUGGGGCUAGAUUAUUGCAAUUAUUAAUCUUCAACGAGGAAUGCCUAGUAAGCGUGAUUCAUCAAAUCGCGUUGAUUACGUCCCUGCCCUUCGUACACACCGCCCGUCGCUCCUACCGAUUGAAUGUGUUGGUGAGGAGCUCGGAUUGGCAGCAGUUGGUGGUUCGCCACCGGCUAUUGCUGAGAAGUCCUCCAAACCGCCCCAUUUAGAGGAAGGAGAAGUCGUAACA
This 326-nucleotide ribosomal RNA is filed under the name uncultured eukaryote. RNAcentral describes it as "partial 18S ribosomal RNA". It matches the Rfam family "Eukaryotic small subunit ribosomal RNA", at positions 1470 to 1796 of the family's 1831-position model. The record is from RNAcentral.